CCGCACCGCACCCCGCCCCGCCCGCGGGCUGGAGCCCGCCCCAAGCGCCGCGCCUCUCGUGAGCCGUGUAAUUAGAGCCUGGUGGUGUCAGGGUGGUAAUUACGCAGAUUGAGUGUGUGAGGGGAAUGGGAAUCACAAGUAGAUGCUUUGUUGGGCUUGAAAGGAGCUAAUUCAGCCAAAACCCGGGUGUUUGAAACGUGCUGAUUCUGGGAGUUUUGGUUCAUAGCGAAGAAAGCGACGUAUUUUUGAAGCUGCAUUGCUGGUGAAGCAAGAACACGGAACCAAGCAUUGCAGAAAACUGCAUUAACUAUGUAAUUGUUGAUGUAUAGGAGAACACCUGAGGGGGAAGAUGUCUUUGUAUUGAAAUGUCUUCCUUUAACGCAGUCCAGAUACGUGGAAAUCUUUGCAAAAGUGGAGGUGAGCCAAGAUUCAGUGUUGCCCAAGACUGCUCAGCCAUCACACAACCCUCAUUGAGUUCAUUUCCUCUAGCUAUAUGAAGAGGAGACAAUCUCCUAAAUAACUAUCCUGAAGUUUCCUAAAGAACUGAUACAAAAUUGGGAACAAAUCUCCAGGAAGCCAGGGGAGGUUUAGAUUAGAUAUUAUGAAAUAUGUCUUCACCAAAAGGGUUGUCAAGCACUGGAAGAGGCUGCCCAGGGAAGUGGUUGAGUCACAAUCCUGGAAGUAUUCAAAAGAUGUGUAGAUGUGGCACUUAGGGACAUGGUUUAGUGGGGACUUGGCAAUGCUAGGUUAACAGAUUUGAUGAUCUUAGAGGUCUUUUCUAAAUGAUUCUGUGAUUCUAAGUAUGUAACUUGCUUGUCUACCUACUAAUAAUAGCUAUUACUCAGUCAUUACUCAGUUCUUGAGUAUCAGCUUUAUGCAGAGCAGUAGCCUUAUCAGCCACUGUUGCCUUCCCAAUGCUUUGUUGCUGGCUCAGGUUUCUUGAGCAAAUAGAAACAGACACUAUUUUUCUGUUCAGGGCAUAAGUCAACUUUGAAAUCAUCCAACCUGUCACACUUCUCUCUCUUCUGUUUAUAGUCUGGAAACUUUUUUCUGCAUAUGCACAGGGCAGUAGCACUGUUGUUUGUUAGUCUUUCAAGCACUCUUGCAGUGCAAAUGAUACUUCCCAGUCUUAUAAGAAGGACUGGAAAGGAAGAUAGAGCACAGCACAAAGCAUUGACUUCCAGAUGAUGUAACUUUCAUAAGUACAGCUCCCAGUGUACUACUUUACCACCAGAUAGCACUUAAUCCAAAACUUUUGUUGUGUCUCCUCUGUCCCUUUGGAAGAAGAAAUGGGAAAAUGUUGAGAGUAAAAACAAUCUGGCUCCAAUUCUGCCAUGUGUCAUUAGAGUGAGUAAUAAAAUCCAGUUUUCACUGCUA
Molecule: long non-coding RNA, 1377 nt
Organism: Neopelma chrysocephalum (saffron-crested tyrant-manakin)
Lineage: Eukaryota; Metazoa; Chordata; Aves; Passeriformes; Pipridae
Exons: 2
Source: RefSeq, a predicted model, not a curated record